GACGAACGCUGGCGGCGCGCUUAACACAUGCAAGUCGAGCGAGAACCAGGACUUCGGUCCUGGGGACAGCGGCGAACGGGUGAGUAACACGUGGGUAAUCUGCCCUCGGUUCCGGGAUAGCCCGGGGAAACUCGGAUUAAUACCGGAUAGCCUCACGAGCCUUCGGGGGAGUGAGAAAAGGUAGCUUUGGCCUCUGACCGAGGAUGAGCCCGCGGUGGAUUAGCUUGUUGGCGGGGUAACGGCCCACCAAGGCGACGAUCCAUAGCUGGUCUGAGAGGACGAUCAGCCACACUGGGACUGAGACACGGCCCAGACUCCUACGGGAGGCAGCAGUGGGGAAUCUUGCGCAAUGGGCGAAAGCCUGACGCAGCGACGCCGCGUGGGGGAAGAAGGCCUUAGGGCUGUAAACCUC
Molecule: ribosomal RNA, 412 nt
Filed under: uncultured bacterium
Lineage: Bacteria
Description: bacterial SSU rRNA
Rfam family: Bacterial small subunit ribosomal RNA
Source: RNAcentral